CCCGCCCUCUUCGCCACCCUCUCCUCCUUCCAGGCCGCCUACCUCCACCUCCAGACCGCCCACUCCCCCCUCCUGCCUGACGUUGUCCACUCUGCCGACCGCGCCGCGGUCUCCCACCUCCGCCGCCUAUCCGACUUGAAGCACUGCUACUUCCAGAACCCUGGCCCUAGCCCUAGGCCGGUUCUUCCCCUCAAAUGUCCCAUUUGCAGGCUCAGGUGCAGGAGAACCAGAACCUCCUCCGCACCUUCGACGCCGUCGUCAACGAGCUCCAAUACGACAUCGACAGGAAGGACGCUGAGGCGGAGGAGAAUCUUAAUCCUAUAGGAUUUGGUUGACAAGAAGAAAACAAAGAGGAGGAGGAGGAGGAGGAGGAGGAAGAGAAGGAGAAUGGGAGGCUUACCUCAGACGGCGGCGAGGUCGACGGCGGCGGAGAAGCGGAAUCGUCGAUCGCCGAUCGGGGCUAGGGAUGGGGCUCAACCGAGAGAGGAUGACGAGAGGGGGCCGAGCGAGCGUUAAAAACAAA
This 523-nucleotide long non-coding RNA is filed under the name Phoenix dactylifera (date palm). Its description in RNAcentral is "long non-coding RNA (PDAC_LNC021847)". Lineage: Eukaryota; Viridiplantae; Streptophyta; Magnoliopsida; Arecales; Arecaceae. The record is from RNAcentral.